This is a long non-coding RNA of Lolium perenne, 1421 nucleotides long. RefSeq lists it as uncharacterized. The record is from RefSeq and is a predicted model, not a curated record. Lineage: Eukaryota; Viridiplantae; Streptophyta; Magnoliopsida; Poales; Poaceae.
CUUUCCCCCACCAGACCCUCCUCUGCCUUCUCUUCCUUCACCACACGUCCCGCCCCACCUUACGGCCCCACAUCACCGCUCGACACCGCUUGCUGCCGCAGCGGAGGGGAUGCAUCUCGUGGCGCAGCGAUGUCCACCGGCGCGGCUCAUCUUCAUGGCCGUCGCGAGGCUGGUGGCCGCUCGAUUCACUCUCGCAGCCUCCCGCGCCCAUGCCUCGCCGGCGCGGCUUGCCUUCGCCCCGUCCCGACGGCAGGGCCGACGCCGCGGAGGUGGACGAGAUGAAAGAGCCGACGGUGGCGGCGGGGAAGGCGUGACGGAGGGGAAGGCGAGCUGUUGCGCCGCAAGAGGCUCCUCCAGGCCGCCGCCGACAAGCGCGACGAGGCCCGUAGCAGGGAGGGCUGCGCCAGGCAGCCGUCGAAUCGGCCGCCUUGCCGCCAGCGACCAUGGGCCGUGAGGAAGUGUCGCGUCACGGGGAGGACUCCGCCACGCCGCCGUCGAUGAGCUCGAGGAGAUAGCGCGGCGCGGGAGGGCUGCACAAGGCCACGCCGCCGUCGACUCCACCACGCUGUGAAGAGCAGCGGUAUUUUUUUCGCGUGCGCCGAGGCGGGCGGCAAGAUCUAUGUCAUCAGCGGCCGCAACAUGCUGAAGAAUGCGCUCAAGACGGUGGAGGCAUCCGACGCGGUGGCCUCCUCCCUCUUGCCCCUCUCGGAUCCGCAGCGAGCAGGUAAGUGCAGCCCGUGCGACCUCGCCUCCCAAACGCACGGCUCGCCGCUCUACCUCGCUCCAGUGGCCGUCCUUCUUUUCUUUCAGAUUCCAGUUCCGGAGAUGCAACAUCUCCCGUCACCGCUCCCUCUUCAUCGUUGGAUAAUGCCCUGACUGAGUUCAGAUGAAUCAAUUUGUAGCGUGGAGACUACUUUGCUUCUUUCUUCACGGUAUACAUAUGCCUAUUGUGUUCUCUUAAUUUAACUUUUCUCAUAUUCUUUGCAGUUCCUGUUUUUGUCCGUGACCUGGAUUCGUUUUCCCGUUUCAAUCGAGCGUCCAUCGAUGCCUGCUUAGGCCAGGAAAGAAAAGACGCAUGUUUCGUUGGUUGAGGAUGUGCCAUCCUAAGCUAUUUGGCUAUUGGUCUUUUAACUGUGAUUCAAAGAUUCAUGUACAUCUCAAGAUAAAAUAUGAAGCUAUAACUCUUAUGCAUGCUCAGGUUUGGUGUUUCAGCAUCUCAGUCAUCUUUUGACAAAGAGAUCGCGCAAGGAAAAGAGAAGCAAACUCACCACAAUUCCAGUAAACAUGCAGGAUUGAAGGAUGAGAUAAAGAGAAGAAAAAACCUGUCGGUUUCUCUUCCUCACUCCACACAACGGGUGGACCUGCGGCCAUGGAGUCUGGAUGUCGCUGCGGCUCCAUUGACCCCGUGGUCGACUUCGCCG